RNAcentral lists this ribosomal RNA (2166 nucleotides) under Kalymmatonema hyalinum Mon66. Its description in RNAcentral is "bacterial SSU rRNA". The stretch from base 1 to 1480 matches the Rfam family "Bacterial small subunit ribosomal RNA". Lineage: Bacteria; Bacillati; Cyanobacteriota; Cyanophyceae; Nostocales; Scytonemataceae. The record is from RNAcentral.
AGAGUUUGAUCCUGGCUCAGGAUGAACGCUGGCGGUAUGCUUAACACAUGCAAGUCGAACGGGCUCUUCGGAGCUAGUGGCGGACGGGUGAGUAACGCGUGAGAAUCUGGCUUCAGGUUCGGGACAACAGUUGGAAACGGCUGCUAAUACCGGAUGUGCCUAAUGGUGAAAGAUUUAUCACCUGAAGAUGAGCUCGCGUCUGAUUAGCUAGUAGGUGUGGUAAGAGCGCACCUAGGCGACGAUCAGUAGCUGGUCUGAGAGGAUGAUCAGCCACACUGGGACUGAGACACGGCCCAGACUCCUACGGGAGGCAGCAGUGGGGAAUUUUCCGCAAUGGGCGAAAGCCUGACGGAGCAAUACCGCGUGAGGGAGGAAGGCUCUUGGGUUGUAAACCUCUUUUCUCAGGGAAGAAUGAUGACGGUACCUGAGGAAUAAGCAUCGGCUAACUCCGUGCCAGCAGCCGCGGUAAUACGGAGGAUGCAAGCGUUAUCCGGAAUGAUUGGGCGUAAAGCGUCCGCAGGUGGCAAUGUAAGUCUGCUGUCAAAGCGUCUGGCUCAACCAGAUAAAGGCAGUGGAAACUACAUAGCUAGAGUAAGGUAGGGGUAGAGGGAAUUCCUGGUGUAGCGGUGAAAUGCGUAGAGAUCAGGAAGAACACCGGUGGCGAAAGCGCUCUGCUGGACCUUAACUGACACUGAGGGACGAAAGCUAGGGGAGCGAAUGGGAUUAGAUACCCCAGUAGUCCUAGCCGUAAACGAUGGAUACUAGGCGUUGCCCGUAUCGACCCGGGCAGUGUCGUAGCUAACGCGUUAAGUAUCCCGCCUGGGGAGUACGCAGGCAACUGUGAAACUCAAAGGAAUUGACGGGGGCCCGCACAAGCGGUGGAGUAUGUGGUUUAAUUCGAUGCAACGCGAAGAACCUUACCAGGGCUUGACAUGUCCGGAAUCCUCUUGAAAGGGAGGAGUGCCUUCGGGAGCCGGAACACAGGUGGUGCAUGGCUGUCGUCAGCUCGUGUCGUGAGAUGUUGGGUUAAGUCCCGCAACGAGCGCAACCCUCGUUCUUAGUUGCCAUCAUUAAGUUGGGAACUCUAAGGAGACUGCCGGUGACAAACCGGAGGAAGGUGGGGAUGACGUCAAGUCAGCAUGCCCCUUACGCCCUGGGCUACACACGUACUACAAUGCUAUGGACAAAGGGCAGCAAGCCAGCGAUGGCAAGCAAAUCUCGUAAACCAUGGCUCAGUUCAGAUCGCAGGCUGCAACUCGCCUGCGUGAAGUCGGAAUCGCUAGUAAUUGCAGGUCAGCAUACUGCAGUGAAUUCGUUCCCGGGCCUUGUACACACCGCCCGUCACACCAUGGAAGCUGGUCACGCCCGAAGUCGUUACCCUAACCUUUCGAGGAGGGGGACGCCGAAAGUAGGACUGGUGACUGGGGUGAAGUCGUAACAAGGUAGCCGUACCGGAAGGUGUGGCUGGAUCACCUCCUUUUUAGGGAGACCUACCUAAAGAACAAAGAACAAAGAACAAAGAACAAGAAAUUUUUGUUUUUUUCUUCUUGAUAAAAUGUUCUGUCUUUAGGACAUCCCGAGGUCGGUCGCAAUCUUAAGGUAGGCUUUCAAACUAUAAACAGGGUUCGAUUAUGGGCUAUUAGCUCAGGUGGUUAGAGCGCACCCCUGAUAAGGGUGAGGUCCCUGGUUCGAGUCCAGGAUGGCCCACCUGAAGACAGUGAACAGUCAACAGUAAAAAACUGGUAGCUGGUAACUGGUAACUGAAAACUGACUUAGGGGGGUUUAGCUCAGUUGGUAGAGCGCCUGCUUUGCAAGCAGGAUGUCAGCGGUUCGAGUCCGCUAACCUCCACCUACUCCACCAAAAAAAAUGCCACCAAAAAAAAUUGCUGAGAAGCAACAAGCAAAAAAAGUGAGAGAAAACUUUUUGUUGGCAAACGAGUGUGGUAGAAUGAGAAAAUGUGGGUGAAUUCAGCAAUAUGACGUUCGUCAGACUGCUGGGUGUGAACCAGCCAGAACCUUGAAAACUGCAUAGUAACGCGAAGCAGGUAGACACAGACAUACUAUGAUUGCAUGGAUGAAAGUGUUUGCUGAUAUAGAUUUCACCAAUUGUUGAGUGGUCAAGCGAAUAAGGGCUAAUGGUGGAUACCUAGGCACACAGAGGCGAAG